RNAcentral lists this ribosomal RNA (253 nucleotides) under uncultured bacterium. RNAcentral's name for it is "partial 16S ribosomal RNA". It matches the Rfam family "Bacterial small subunit ribosomal RNA", at positions 524 to 776 of the family's 1533-position model. The record is from RNAcentral.
UACGUAGGGGGCAAGCGUUGUCCGGAAUCAUUGGGCGUAAAGGGCUCGUAGGCGGCCAACUAAGUCAGACGUGAAAUCCCCAGGCUCAACCUGGGAACCGCGCUUGAGACUGGAGAACUAGAGUUCGGGAGAGGAUGGUGGAAUUCCCAGUGUAGAGGUGAAAUUCGUAGAUAUUGGGAAGAACACCGAUGGCGAAGGCAGCCAUCUGGACCGACACUGACGCUGAGGCGCGAAAGCGUGGGGAUCAAACAGG